RNAcentral lists this ribosomal RNA (494 nucleotides) under uncultured bacterium. RNAcentral's name for it is "partial 16S ribosomal RNA". It matches the Rfam family "Bacterial small subunit ribosomal RNA", at positions 28 to 506 of the family's 1533-position model. The record is from RNAcentral.
GAUGAACGCUGGCGGCGUGCCUAAUACAUGCAAGUAGAACGCUGAAGGAGGAGCUUGCUCUUCUGGAUGAGUUGCGAACGGGUGAGUAACGCGUAGGUAACCUGCCUGGUAGCGGGGGAUAACUAUUGGAAACGAUAGCUAAUACCGCAUGACAACAGUUAUUGCAUGAUAACUGUUUAAAAGGGGCAACUGCUCCACUACCAGAUGGACCUGCGUUGUAUUAGCUAGUUGGUGAGGUAACGGCUCACCAAGGCGACGAUACAAAGCCGACCUGAGAGGGUGAUCGGCCACACUGGGACUGAGACACGGCCCAGACUCCUACGGGAGGCAGCAGUAGGGAAUCUUCGGCAAUGGACGGAAGUCUGACCGAGCAACGCCGCGUGAGUGAAGAAGGUUUUCGGAUCGUAAAGCUCUGUUGUAAGAGAAGAACGAGUGUGAGAGUGGAAAGUUCACACUGUGACGGUAUCUUACCAGAAAGGGACGGCUAACUACGU